GUUGCGCGUUGUGCACGCUUUUUGGUUGUUGCACGGCGUCCGGCUGUUUUACGCGAAGACAUGUUUGUAUUCCUAAAAUUAUGAAUAAAAAAGACAAUUACAUCAUUUAAUUCAUAUUUUUUACAAUUAAUUUAGGAUAUCACGACGUAACCAAAAUCAGGAUAAAAAUAAGAUCGUCUGCGUGACGGUUCAACAAAGAGGACAUUACACUCUACAUCUAUAGAAAUCUAUAUAAAAAUACAUAUCCGUGAUACAGUUCAAUUUGAAUUUUAAACUAUAAUUUAAAUAACAAAAUUGGAACACUAGAAUCUGCUGCACACUCGUUUGAACAGAAUUUUCGCUCAGCUAUAUUCGAACAGGCUAUAUUUGACUUUUAAUAAACAUUUAUUGGUUAUAAUUGGAACUCUUAUAAAAUUGCUAUACAAAGAACGUCAUUGUUUUUAAAGGACAAAAGAUUGUUUUCAUAUCUGCAAAUCAGUCAUUGGAAGUUUUCAUAUUGAAACGUUAAAGUACACAAACGAAUUUCUACCAACCUGAUUAAUAGCAGCUACGAAAUGAGAAGAACUCCAAAAAGUGUACAGCACAGAUACUCGUGCACCACUGUGACUCACGUUACGCGUCACUCUAUGGUUAUUCACCACACCCGGGUAAGUAACGCCAUCUAGUGAAGGAUCAUUUAUCCAUUACACGAGCCUUUUCUAGACAUCCAAAAAUUAGGCCACAUGCAACGAAAAAAAAGAGGAUUACGAUGACCGAUCUUUUCUUCCAUAUUUAAAAUCCGUUAGUGCAAUGAAUAUAAUUAUUUUAAAUUCCACAUAUAAAAAUUCCUAUUAUAAGAAUAAUAAUCGUUCUUAAUUUUUACCUUUGCAAAUUACAAUGGAUGUUAUUUGAUAUUGCUUUGAAAACGGUCGAAUUUAUUUAUAUAUUUUAUAAUAACCGACAUAAUAAAUUAAUUGCGUGUACUAAAAACGUUGGUUUAUCCUCGAAAGGAUACGUCAUUACAGGUACCUUAGUUGGAGUAAAUCGUUGACGGUGAAAUCAUUACCUUAUAAGGCAAUGAAAGAAUCCGAUAUAUACACAUGUAGUUGACAUUCAUUUCGUAAUCAUAUUUACAGUAUAUCUGGCAAAUAAUGAUACUGAAACGCAUUGAUCCGAAUUGAAACUAUUUACAAAAGCGUUAUAACUAUAUUUUUGGUAUGUACUUCCCGUAAAGAUAUAACAAAAUAUAAAAUAAAACAAGAGA
Long non-coding RNA from Bombus terrestris (buff-tailed bumblebee), 1243 nucleotides. RefSeq lists it as uncharacterized. The record is from RefSeq and is a predicted model, not a curated record. Lineage: Eukaryota; Metazoa; Arthropoda; Insecta; Hymenoptera; Apidae. The transcript is spliced from 4 exons.